AUUCCAUGAUGGGGACAUUCUAGGAUGCAGUCUUGGAAGCGCUCCCAUGCUUCUGGAAAAAAUAAGUCU
This 69-nucleotide small nucleolar RNA is filed under the name Sorghum bicolor (sorghum). Its description in RNAcentral is "Plant small nucleolar RNA R71". It matches the Rfam family "Plant small nucleolar RNA R71". Rfam says of the family: R71 is a member of the C/D box family of snoRNAs containing the C (UGAUGA) and D (CUGA) box motifs. Multiple nearly identical copies of this snoRNA have been identified in Arabidopsis, and it is thought to function as a 2'-O-ribose methylation guide for 18S ribosomal RNA. Lineage: Eukaryota; Viridiplantae; Streptophyta; Magnoliopsida; Poales; Poaceae. The record is from Rfam by way of RNAcentral.